GGGUUGUGAGGUUAAGCGACUAAGCGUACACGGUGGAUGCCCUGGCAGUCAGAGGCGAUGAAGGGCGUGCUAAUCUGCGAUAAGCGCCGGUAAGGUGAUAUGAACCGUUAUAACCGGCGAUACCCGAAUGGGGAAACCCAGUGUGAUUCGUCACACUAUCAUUAACUGAAUCCAUAGGUUAAUGAGGCGAACCGGGGGAACUGAAACAUCUAAGUACCCCGAGGAAAAGAAAUCAACCGAGAUUCCCCCAGUAGCGGCGAGCGAACGGGGAGGAGCCCAGAGCCUGAAUCAGCAUGUGUGUUAGUGGAAGCGUCUGGAAAGGCGCGCGAUACAGGGUGACAGCCCCGUACACAAAAGCGCAUGUGCUGUGAGCUCGAUGAGUAGGGCGGGACACGUGGUAUCCUGUCUGAAUAUGGGGGGACCAUCCUCCAAGGCUAAAUACUCCUGACUGACCGAUAGUGAACCAGUACCGUGAGGGAAAGGCGAAAAGAACCCCGGCGAGGGGAGUGAAAAAGAACCUGAAACCGUGUACGUACAAGCAGUGGGAGCACAGGUUUACCUGUGUGACUGCGUACCUUUUGUAUAAUGGGUCAGCGACUUAUAUUCUGUAGCAAGGUUAACCGAAUAGGGGAGCCGGAGGGAAACCGAGUCUUAAUUGGGCGUUAAGUUGCAGGGUAUAGACCCGAAACCCGGUGAUCUAGCCAUGGGCAGGUUGAAGGUUGGGUAACACUAACUGGAGGACCGAACCGACUAAUGUUGAAAAAUUAGCGGAUGACCUGUGGCUGGGGGUGAAAGGCCAAUCAAACCGGGAGAUAGCUGGUUCUCCCCGAAAGCUAUUUAGGUAGCGCCUCGUGAAUUCAUCUCCGGGGGUAGAGCACUGUUUCGGCUAGGGGGCCAUCCCGGCUUACCAACCCGAUGCAAACUGCGAAUACCGGAGAAUGUUAUCACGGGAGACACACGGCGGGUGCUAACGUCCGUCGUGAAGAGGGAAACAACCCAGACCGCCAGCUAAGGUCCCAAAGUCAUGGUUAAGUGGGAAACGAUGUGGGAAGGCCCAGACAGCCAGGAUGUUGGCUUAGAAGCAGCCAUCAUUUAAAGAAAGCGUAAUAGCUCACUGGUCGAGUCGGCCUGCGCGGAAGAUGUAACGGGGCUAAACCAUGCACCGAAGCUGCGGCAGCGACGCUGAUGCGUUGUUGGGUAGGGGAGCGUUCUGUAAGCCUGCGAAGGUGGCCUGUGAGGGUUGCUGGAGGUAUCAGAAGUGCGAAUGCUGACAUAAGUAACGAUAAAGCGGGUGAAAAGCCCGCUCGCCGGAAGACCAAGGGUUCCUGUCCAACGUUAAUCGGGGCAGGGUGAGUCGACCCCUAAGGCGAGGCCGAAAGGCGUAGUCGAUGGGAAACGGGUUAAUAUUCCCGUACUUGGUGUUACUGCGAAGGGGGGACGGAGAAGGCUAUGUUGGCCGGGCGACGGUUGUCCCGGUUUAAGCGUGUAGGCUGGUUUUCCAGGCAAAUCCGGAAAAUCAAGGCUGAGGCGUGAUGACGAGGCACUACGGUGCUGAAGCAACAAAUGCCCUGCUUCCAGGAAAAGCCUCUAAGCAUCAGGUAACAUCAAAUCGUACCCCAAACCGACACAGGUGGUCAGGUAGAGAAUACCAAGGCGCUUGAGAGAACUCGGGUGAAGGAACUAGGCAAAAUGGUGCCGUAACUUCGGGAGAAGGCACGCUGACACGUAGGUGAAGUGAUUUACUCAUGGAGCUGAAGUCAGUCGAAGAUACCAGCUGGCUGCAACUGUUUAUUAAAAACACAGCACUGUGCAAACACGAAAGUGGACGUAUACGGUGUGACGCCUGCCCGGUGCCGGAAGGUUAAUUGAUGGGGUCAGCGCAAGCGAAGCUCCUGAUCGAAGCCCCGGUAAACGGCGGCCGUAACUAUAACGGUCCUAAGGUAGCGAAAUUCCUUGUCGGGUAAGUUCCGACCUGCACGAAUGGCGUAAUGAUGGCCAGGCUGUCUCCACCCGAGACUCAGUGAAAUUGAACUCGCUGUGAAGAUGCAGUGUACCCGCGGCAAGACGGAAAGACCCCGUGAACCUUUACUAUAGCUUGACACUGAACAUUGAGCCUUGAUGUGUAGGAUAGGUGGGAGGCUUUGAAGUGUGGACGCCAGUCUGCAUGGAGCCGACCUUGAAAUACCACCCUUUAAUGUUUGAUGUUCUAACGUGGACCCGUUACCCGGGUUGCGGACAGUGUCUGGUGGGUAGUUUGACUGGGGCGGUCUCCUCCUAAAGAGUAACGGAGGAGCACGAAGGUUGGCUAAUCCUGGUCGGACAUCAGGAGGUUAGUGCAAUGGCAUAAGCCAGCUUGACUGCGAGCGUGACGGCGCGAGCAGGUGCGAAAGCAGGUCAUAGUGAUCCGGUGGUUCUGAAUGGAAGGGCCAUCGCUCAACGGAUAAAAGGUACUCCGGGGAUAACAGGCUGAUACCGCCCAAGAGUUCAUAUCGACGGCGGUGUUUGGCACCUCGAUGUCGGCUCAUCACAUCCUGGGGCUGAAGUAGGUCCCAAGGGUAUGGCUGUUCGCCAUUUAAAGUGGUACGCGAGCUGGGUUUAGAACGUCGUGAGACAGUUCGGUCCCUAUCUGCCGUGGGCGCUGGAGAACUGAGGGGGGCUGCUCCUAGUACGAGAGGACCGGAGUGGACGCAUCACUGGUGUUCGGGUUGUCAUGCCAAUGGCACUGCCCGGUAGCUAAAUGCGGAAGAGAUAAGUGCUGAAAGCAUCUAAGCACGAAACUUGCCCCGAGAUGAGUUCUCCCUGAGACUUAGAGUCUCCUGAAGGAACGUUGAAGACGACGACGUUGAUAGGCCGGGUGUGUAAGCGCAGCGAUGCGUUGAGCUAACCGGUACUAAUGAACCGUGAGGCUUAACCUUACAACGCCGAAG
RNAcentral lists this ribosomal RNA (2927 nucleotides) under Salmonella enterica. RNAcentral's name for it is "bacterial LSU rRNA". It matches the Rfam family "Bacterial large subunit ribosomal RNA". Lineage: Bacteria; Pseudomonadati; Pseudomonadota; Gammaproteobacteria; Enterobacterales; Enterobacteriaceae. RNAcentral also lists the same sequence under 1 other name. The record is from RNAcentral.